This is a long non-coding RNA of Numida meleagris (helmeted guineafowl), 3620 nucleotides long. RefSeq lists it as uncharacterized. The record is from RefSeq and is a predicted model, not a curated record. Lineage: Eukaryota; Metazoa; Chordata; Aves; Galliformes; Numididae. The transcript has 3 exons.
GCCGGGAGGGGCGGGGCGGCGCGAGGCGUUCCCGCCGCGUGCGCCUUUCUCACACGGCGGCGGCUCUGAGCGAGGGUUCUCGUUUUGCUGUGCCCGUCUCGCUCCGGCCUCGUAAAACAAUUCGGUAAAACCGUCGUGGAGAGGAGCCUGUCUGCUCGCGCUGCGGUCAUGGCUGCUAGCCAGGCUCCAGCAGCCGCCCUCUGCCCAGGGAGCACACCCAGAGCAGUGUGCAGGCAGCCAGGUGGUGUGACCUAACCAGCGGACUGUGCCAUGCUGUCAUGAGGAAGAGUCACAUCAAACCAUCUGCAAGUCACCUCCCUAGUUUUUCUGGCCUAUCCACAGCAGAGCCUGGGAAGAAUGUCUGCCUGUGGUUCUCAGAAAUAUCUGUCAGUUCCCAGAGCUAAGUUCCUGGUGAAGAUGGGGCAGGCAUCUUCCAAAGGAAUUUGCCUUUUACAGUGCACUGGAGCUAGGAUUCAGGCUUUUAUUCUUAGAUUAUGUCGUAACUCCCAGCACAGGAGAGUGUGAGCUUUCAUCAGCACAGAUUGCCACAAACCAAAGGACUAAAUCCACAGUCAGGGAGCUGUGCUGGGGAGCUAGCUUUGUGUCCUUAGCCCUGCACUUGGUUUGCAGUGAAUACAAACACGAGUAUUUACACGUGAAGUUGGAAGUAGACUCCUUCAACGCUAAAACCAUAGGUGGCUUGGGUAAACUUCAGCAACUAUUCCUGUAAAUGGGAAUAGUGUAAAGGAUAAAUUUGCCAGGAUCUAUUUAAAAGCCGUUCUGUUGGGAUUUUCUUAUUUUUUUUCUUGAUUUUUUUUCUUUCCUCUCAAAGAGCGGACAUAGUUUUUUGCUGUUUCGAGCCAUGCGCACUGAAGCAGUAUCUCAAGUGUGAGACAAAGACUGUUUUUAAAAUGGUUUGGUUGUACUGUCUACUUGGUGAUAUUUUUUUAAAAUACAUUUACCAAAGAUUUAUGUAAAAUCUAUCUUUUGUCUACUUAAAAUACGUCAAAUGGAUGUACAGGGCAAAAUUUAAUGCAUAUGGGUUUUCAUUAUUUUAAAUCAUUUGCAAUAUAAAUGAUUUACUGUGACAUCAGACAUUUGUUCUUUGGCUGUCCACCAUAAAUUGAAGCCCACCCAAAUUUCCACUUUUAUAUUUCUGCAUUCCCUCCCCCAGUAUCUCUAACCUUAGCGCCGCGAUUCUUCAUGUAAAUGACUUUCAACAAGGAAAGGAAGAGAACACAUAAUUGGCCUUAAUACAGGUAAUACUGAAAGAAAAGGGAGACCUUUACAUGAGAAAUAGUUGACAGCCAUGGAAAGGGGGGAACUAAUGCAUGGAGGAGAGGAAGUCGUUCCUGAUGAGGGCGGUGAGAGCUGCUGGCCAACCAGAUGUGGCCAAAUGGAAUUCUUGUGCAGCUGAAACUGCCGGAGGUGACAGACUCCUAUCUUUUGCUUUCUGAAUGUUUUCAUGUCUUUCUAGUGUCCUUCCAUUUAGAAUGCAGUUAAUCAAACACUGACCCGUUCAUGUUACACACGACCGUUUGGAAAACUGAGGUAAGCCAGUUUGUCCAAGGUCAUUCUUGAUGUCCGUAGUGAAAAAGUGGUGACACCUGACUCCCAGAAUGACGCUCUCCUGACAAAGCUUCUCCUAAAACAUGGAAUAAUCUUGGGACACUCAGACCUUUUGACAGACCUUGCAGGGAACAGCAUUCAUUAUUGUAUUUUCUGGUUCUGUCAUGACAGUUAAUACGACACGGACCUUCAGACCCAGCAUCACCUGUAUCUGAAGCCUUCCUGGCUCUGUAGUUACUGAAAAUUGCUGCUACCUGAUACCAAGCUGCUCGGUGGCCAGUACUACAGGAUUAAACACCUCAACUCAGCCCAGUUUCUCAUCUGUGCAUGUCAUCUCAAAACCUACUAGUCAGCAGACUCCAUUGGGAUCCUUAUUUCUACUUACUAAAUUGGAAGACAGUCCUGUUUGAACCAAACGUUGUAUUUUUGCAAGCUUCCCCCCACCCAUACCACUUUGAUAUGACUCCCUCCCUUCUUGCUGUCAAAAGAUUUUGCUAUUAUUGCCCACGCAGGUAGUUCUAAUGAAGCAUCUCAAAUGUGAUUUGUAGCCAUUCUGAGUGACAUUAUAAACUUCAGCCCCAUCCGGAAGGGAAUCUGAAUUCUGAUAUCCAGCCUGUCUGCCCAAUCCUGCAUUUACAGGUGUGUCUGACGGUUGCCAUUUAGAUGGUUGAUGUCUUUCCCACCAUGCUAGUCCUAAGGCACCAGCACUGCCAACAGUCUUCAUCCUGCAGUCAGAGCAGGGUUAGAUCAUGUGGUGGGCCUGCAUGUGCUCGUCUUCAUUCCAGCCUCCAGUGGCUUUACUACUGCAAGAUCCAAUUGAGAAAAAUGUUAGCGUAGUUCUGAUUUAUGUACAAAAGUGCAGAGGAGAGCAGAAGCUUUUAGUAUCUUGGGAAGUGGUUAGAAAUUAAGGCCAAAGAAAGGACAGUCAUGUCCAUUACAUCCUUAAAAAAAAAAAAAACAAAACCAACAAAUCUUUAGUGAAAGUCCUGGCUGCUGAACUGCUUCUGGGCUGGCAGAUGUUCACAGUUCCCUUGGCAGAUACUGUGGAAAGCUAAUGGGCCCAUUUAGAGACCGUCCCUUACACAACAGCAUUCAGACAGUUGUGCAGUUGCGAGGGAGGCCUUGUAGGGCAGGGUCCUUUCAAGCUGGUUGUCCUGAAAUGAAAUUAGGGAAUUCAUUAAAUAUUUUAAGAGCUCUGAUAAUCUCUUGUCAACAAUCUCUGCCGAACCCAGGACUUCACUCGAGAUGCGGAUGAGGGAAGGAACUGAAUGCGAAGUGCAAGGCUGACACCUGGAGGGCACUGCUGAGCUGCAGCAAGGCAAGCCUGGAGGAGCUAGGGAUGCUGCAGCGCAGCCUGGGUUAGGAAAGCUCAGAGGUGGUGGUUUUGGAUCUGCUCUUUUCUAGUGAAGGAGCUCUUCAGGUAUUCUUCCCUCUCCCCUCUCCUAACAACAACAACAAAAAAUCCAUAUUUCUAUUUCAGCUUUUCCAUAUCUAUUUUUUUAAGGAGUGGAUAAGAGCAAAGGAUUAAACUGGAUUAUCUAGUUUUUCACUUCUUCCACAUUCAAGAAAACUUUAAUGAAAACUUUCUGGCUCAUUAAGCCACUACAAGCAAUUCUGGGUCUGUUUUUUGGUUGUUUAGCGUAACUUAUUUGAUUGCUGCACGUCAGACUUCCUACUGCUGCUUUGCCAUUCGUGUAAUGGUGCAGUGAGUUUCUGGACUAGAGACUUGCAGGGCAAUUCCUACUGUCAGAGCUGCAGCUGGCAAGUUGGCAUCGUGUGGGGCUUGGUCUUUCCAUGCCUGGCUCUGCCAGUACCCAUGGUGAGGCUUUUCUUGAAGCUGAUCCUAAUCAAGGAAUGCGAGGCAGCUUCUGGGACAAAGUCUUCAUGCUUUUGGAGGUUGGCUCCCAGCCUGGCAAUCACCCAUCUGCAGUGCUUACUCAAACCUUUUCAGUAAUCUCUCUUCUCUGCCAGGAAUUAUCUUAUUGUUUCUGAAAGCUGUUUUUGCUUGAUCUAAUUUUAGAAUAUGUUAAUAAAUGAGUUGUUUACUGUGC